UACGGGGGGAGCAGGCGUUGUUCGGAUUUACUGGGCGUAAAGGGCGCGUAGGCGGUCAGCACAGGUCAGUUGUGAAAUCUCCGGGCUUAACUCGGAAAGGUCAACUGAUACUGUGCGACUAGAGUGCGGAAGGGGCAACUGGAAUUCUCGGUGUAGCGGUGAAAUGCGUAGAUAUCGGAAGGAACAUCAGUGGCGAAAGCGACUUCCUGGUCCAGCAUCGACGUUCAGGCACGAAAGCUAGGGGAGCAAACAGG
RNAcentral lists this ribosomal RNA (254 nucleotides) under uncultured prokaryote. RNAcentral describes it as "partial 16S ribosomal RNA". It matches the Rfam family "Bacterial small subunit ribosomal RNA", at positions 524 to 776 of the family's 1533-position model. The record is from RNAcentral.